RNAcentral lists this unclassified non-coding RNA (172 nucleotides) under Glomeromycotina sp. RNAcentral's name for it is "partial contains small subunit ribosomal RNA, internal transcribed spacer 1, and 5.8S ribosomal RNA". The stretch from base 1 to 47 matches the Rfam family "Eukaryotic small subunit ribosomal RNA", at positions 1785 to 1831 of the family's 1831-position model. Lineage: Eukaryota; Fungi; Glomeromycota. The record is from RNAcentral.
AAAGUCGUAACAAGGUUUCCGUAGGUGAACCUGCGGAAGGAUCAUUACUGGUUUAGCGGACCGAGUGUUAGCGAGGUUCUGCGAUCAAUUUAUAUUUAAAACCCACUCUUGAAAUUUUAUGUAUUAAUGAUAAAAUAAAAGAUCACUUUCAACAACGGAUCUCUUGGCUCUC